RNAcentral lists this ribosomal RNA (663 nucleotides) under Pseudomonadota bacterium. Its description in RNAcentral is "bacterial SSU rRNA". It matches the Rfam family "Bacterial small subunit ribosomal RNA", at positions 26 to 680 of the family's 1533-position model. Lineage: Bacteria; Pseudomonadati; Pseudomonadota. The record is from RNAcentral.
AGAUUGAACGCUGGCGGAAUGCUUUACACAUGCAAGUCGAACGGCAGCACGGAGAGCUUGCUCUCUGGUGGCGAGUGGCGAACGGGUGAGUAAUAUAUCGGAACGUAUCCAAUAAUGGGGGAUAACGAGUCGAAAGAUUCGCUAAUACCGCAUACGCCCUACGGGGGAAAGCAGGGGAUCGUAAGACCUUGCGUUAAUGGAGCGGCCGAUAUCUGAUUAGCUUGUUGGUGAGGUAAAGGCUCACCAAGGCGACGAUCAGUAGCUGGUUUGAGAGAACGACCAGCCACACUGGAACUGAGACACGGUCCAGACUCCUACGGGAGGCAGCAGUGGGGAAUUUUGGACAAUGGGGGCAACCCUGAUCCAGCCAUUCCGCGUGAGUGAAGAAGGCCUUCGGGUUGUAAAGCUCUUUCGCAAGGGAAGAAAACUUAUGAUCGAAUAAAUCAUGAGGUUGACGGUACCUUGAUAAGAAGCACCGGCUAACUACGUGCCAGCAGCCGCGGUAAUACGUAGGGUGCGAGCGUUAAUCGGAAUUACUGGGCGUAAAGCGUGCGCAGGCGGUUUUGUAAGUCGGAUGUGAAAUCCCCGGGCUCAACCUGGGAACUGCGUUCGAAACUGCAAGGCUAGAGUGUGUCAGAGGGGGGUAGAAUUCCACGUGUAGCA